Molecule: ribosomal RNA, 378 nt
Filed under: uncultured bacterium
Lineage: Bacteria
Description: bacterial SSU rRNA
Rfam family: Bacterial small subunit ribosomal RNA
Source: RNAcentral
UCGUGGGGGAUAACGUAGGGAAACUUACGCUAAUACCGCAUGCGCCCUUCGGGGGAAAGCCGGGGACCUUCGGGCCUGGCGCGAUUGGAUGAGCCCACGUCGGAUUAGCUAGUUGGCGGGGUAAAGGCCCACCAAGGCGACGAUCCGUAGCUGGUCUGAGAGGAUGAUCAGCCACACUGGAACUGAGACACGGUCCAGACUCCUACGGGAGGCAGCAGUAGGGAAUAUUGGACAAUGGGCGCAAGCCUGAUCCAGCCAUGCCGCGUGAGUGAAGAAGGCCCUCGGGUUGUAAAGCUCUUUUGUCCGGAAAGAAAAGCGCCGGGUUAAUACCCUGGUGUCCUGACGGUACCGGAAGAAUAAGCACCGGCUAACUUCGUG